UCAACACGUACCGGGGCCUGCUGGAGAGCGAGGACUGCAAGCUGCCCUCCAACCCCUGCGCCACGACCAACGCCGGUGACAGGUCCUGCAUCACCAAUCCCUGCACCCCUUGUGUCCCACGCCCCCGCUGUGGGCCCUGCAACACCUUUGGGUGCUAGAUAUCCUGAGGCCAGCAGGAGGGUUGCGUGAAGACAGAAGGGACGUCGAUGGACCAGCUCUGCUUCUCUGACAACCAUCAGCUGCAGGACCCACCCCAGGCAUCACCAUAAAUGAUAGUCUGGAAGGAGAACAAAUGCCCAGGGUGUGGCCCGGCUCUGAGCCUAGGCCCGCCUGCUCCUCUUCAUUCAGGGCCACUCUCUUGUAGUUAUUCUGCGACCUGAUGGUCUGACGGGUUUGGGCUGUGAAGGUGUCAUAUGAGGUGUUUUGUGGUUCUCUCUGCUGCUUUCUUCUAGUUCCAUAAAUCCCUUUGUAAGUCUUCUAAUAAACUUUCCUCUUGCAAAGCA
This is a long non-coding RNA of Equus quagga, 503 nucleotides long. RefSeq lists it as uncharacterized. The transcript is spliced from 2 exons. The record is from RefSeq and is a predicted model, not a curated record. Lineage: Eukaryota; Metazoa; Chordata; Mammalia; Perissodactyla; Equidae.